UCGACUCAAAGAAAAAAAAAAAAAUACGGCUUAAUGGAAAAUUGGGAGGGGGAACCGACGACGGCAAUUCCUUUAUCCAGUUAUAAACCACUGGUCCCACAGUUGCCAGUCCAAUAUCGCACUCUCUCCCUACUCUUUUCAGCGCAUUUUGCUCGCAUUGAUCUUCAUUCCUCGCUCCAACGGACCCGGCCUUCACGCACAGUACAGAUCAUAUCCUCCUGUCACCCACUAGCUCCCCCUACCCCCGCCACUCGGAACGGACGGCCACCUCAACUUCCCUCGGGCGUCCAGAUCUCGGCAAUCUCAACGUUGCUAAAAUUCGAGCCCCUCAACGCUCCGCAUCCGCAGAAAAAUCCAGGUUUCUCGCAGUUUUUCUUUUCAAAACUUCUCAGCAGCCAGCCAGCCAGGUAGGGAGCCCCGGGAAUGGAGAAGUUGGUAGAUUCCAUGAACAAUGCAUACGAGGAGUUUGUUACUGCGGCGAGUAACGUGCUAGAAGCCAAAAAGAUAUCUGGUGGCCAGAAAACAGUUGCCACGAAUGCAGCCCUGGAAAUCGUUGAGCAGAAGUGGGAAUCGUUCAGAGUGGCUUGUGACCAUGCGGAGGGGUUUGUGGAGUCUGCGAAGAAAAUGAUAGAAUACGACAAAGGUGCGAGUGUUUAAACUGUGUGGAAAAGAAAGAUAAAGAGAUAGAGAUGGAAUUGUACGUCAAAUCUGACUGUAUGUAUUUUUAUAAGUUUGGGUUGGAUCUGAGUUA
This is a long non-coding RNA of Carya illinoinensis, 751 nucleotides long. RefSeq lists it as uncharacterized. The record is from RefSeq and is a predicted model, not a curated record. The transcript is spliced from 2 exons. NCBI's taxonomy places the organism in Eukaryota, Viridiplantae, Streptophyta, Magnoliopsida, Fagales, Juglandaceae.